Molecule: ribosomal RNA, 484 nt
Filed under: uncultured bacterium
Lineage: Bacteria
Description: partial 16S ribosomal RNA
Rfam family: Bacterial small subunit ribosomal RNA
Source: RNAcentral
AUUGAACGCUGGCGGCAGGCCUAACACAUGCAAGUCGAGCGGAUGAAGGGAGCUUGCUCCUGGAUUCAGCGGCGGACGGGUGAGUAAUGCCUAGGAAUCUGCCUGGUAGUGGGGGAUAACGUCCGGAAACGGGCGCUAAUACCGCAUACGUCCUGAGGGAGAAAGAGGGGGAUCUUCGGACCUCACGCUAUCAGAUGAGCCUAGGUCGGAUUAGCUAGUUGGUGGGGUAAAGGCCUACCAAGGCGACGAUCCGUAACUGGUCUGAGAGGAUGAUCAGUCACACUGGAACUGAGACACGGUCCAGACUCCUACGGGAGGCAGCAGUGGGGAAUAUGGGACAAUGGGCGAAAGCCUGAUCCAGCGAUGCCGCGUGUGUGAAGAAGGUCUUCGGAUUGUAAAGCACUUUAAGUUGGGAGGAAGGGCAGUAAGUUAAUACCUUGCUGUUUUGACGUUACCAACAGAAUAAGCACCGGCUAACUUCGUG